UACAGAGGUCUCAAGCGUUGUUCGGAUUCAUUGGGCGUAAAGGGUGCGUAGGUGGCUUGGUAAGUCGGAUGUGAAAUCCCGGGGCUCAACCCCGGAACUGCAUUCGAUACUGCCAGGCUAGAGUACUGGAGAGGAGAUUGGAAUUUACGGUGUAGCAGUGAAAUGCGUAGAUAUCGUAAGGAAGACCGAUGGCGAAGGCGGAUCUCUGGACAGUUACUGACACUGAGACACGAAGGCAAGGGGAGCAAACGGG
This 253-nucleotide ribosomal RNA is filed under the name uncultured bacterium. RNAcentral's name for it is "partial 16S ribosomal RNA". It matches the Rfam family "Bacterial small subunit ribosomal RNA", at positions 524 to 776 of the family's 1533-position model. The record is from RNAcentral.